UAUUCACUCACUAUUGCGCACUAUUGAGCUACUAUUCACUCACUAUUGCGCACUAUUCGGGGUCGCUUUUCGGGGGAUACGAGCACGCGCAGGUGUGUGAUUAGGUAUAUUCCUUAAUUAGGUGUAUUCUCAGGAUCUUUGCGGGUUGGCGAGACCGAAGAUUCAGCCGGUCGUGCUGCUAUGCUUGUGACAGUCCUACUCGGUACUCACCGCAUGCCUCGCUGGCUCGCUUCAGAACCAGGCAAGCCCGGACUGCACCCUCACC
This 265-nucleotide long non-coding RNA is filed under the name Setaria viridis. RNAcentral describes it as "long non-coding RNA (SVIR_LNC006874)". The record is from RNAcentral. Lineage: Eukaryota; Viridiplantae; Streptophyta; Magnoliopsida; Poales; Poaceae.